GUUUUGGAAAUGGGCUAUUGAUAUUUAUUGUAGGAACAAGAAAACCAGAUCUCGUUUUUUUUCUGGUGGCCGGUGGCCCUCUCACCGCCGGUCACCCUCUUGUUUCUUCUUGCGCAGGUUCCCGCCUCACACGCUCCACUCUCUUUUCCAAGUACAUCCGAUAUGCGUUUUGCUCUGUAUCUCCACCGGUGUUGACCUCUGGCGGACCUAAAAUUGAACACACGGGUGUCUGUGUUUCCUCUGGAGCAAAAGCGAGGUAUCUUCUUUGGUCUAAGGUGGAGGGUUCCGGACAGGGUACGUUCUACGGCGGGUGAAGACAGAUCUGUGUAGAUCUGGUUCUCGGAGCCGACGGAGACAGUCUGGGAGCGUCGCUGCCUCCUCCUUGUUCCCGCUCGUCUUGCUCUUCUCCGCUGUCGUUUGUUUACUUUCCGGUUAGUUCAGAGUUUCUCAUCUCCUUCUGAGAAAGGCGGUUUCAGAGGCAGCCGCCGAGGACCUCUGUUUUUAGAUCUGAAGUCAGCAAAUCUAGGCGUCACUCUUCUGCCGUUAUGUCUCAUUCGCCGUCUUCCGGAGGCUCUGAGCUUUGAGGACAUGCUUAGUUUCGUUCUCCUUUGUACGGUGAGGUUCCUCUCGUCAGUCGUGUCGCUCUGUUUGUGUGGAGCUCCUGCUCCGGUUCUUCAAGCGCUCGCAGGAAGGUUGUGAGGAGUGUGUCCUGCCUCUUUGUCGAUUGGAAAGCAUCUAUCUCUCCGACGCUGUGGCCGGUGUAAGGAGUUUAAACCACCUCCUGCAGUCCACGAGUCUCGUUUCUUCACCGCUUGGUUUUCCAUUAGUCGGAUUGGAUCAACAGCCGCACCUUCUACAAUCUUCUGGUUUGUUCGGAGUGGACCCUUGACGGAAUGAUAGCCGGGGCCGGGACGCCUAACCGCCUCCGCCUGUCACGUCCUCUGAUUCCUUUCGGGAUCUCAUCCGCUCCUGAACUUUUCCUAGACCUCUAAUCUUUUUUGCAGGUUUCUUUCUUUAAAGUGUCCUCUGGGUCUUCGAGUGCCAAUUGCUGACAUUUAUAUGGUAUUUACAGAUUAGGCUUUGAAUGGUGACCAAAGAACGAAGGGGAACGCUGAAUUCCUUAUCAUUCCAAAAAAAAAUCACCAUUCACAUUAAUAAGUUCAUUUCCUAUUCGUUUUUUGUGUUCCCGAAAAGGUCACCAGUCGGAGCCUAGGAAUACGGGAAAUGGUUUACUUAUAUAUUUGUAAAUUUUAAAUAAAUUAAUAAGAUAGUAAUGUCUUUUUGAAACGUACGUGACUGGAUUAGUAAUCUCCAUAUGUAUAAAUUAUGCAUGAACACAAAAAACUAUACUGGUGUAUUCAUUAUGAACUUAUAAAUGACAACUACCUUAAGAUAUUAUAUUUGUAAUAAAUAUUAAAUAUUACUAAACUAUUAUAGUGUUCUUUUAAAAAUGGACGAACUCCGCACUACAUAUUCGCUACGCCAUAAACAAAAUUAUUUCUUAGACUAAUUGGUUGCUAAUUCGGUUGUAAGAACAUAGAUAAAUCUAUUAAACAAUGUCUAAAUGUUAAAUGUACACAAUUGUGUUAAAGUGCAGACAUUUGUAAGAUAAUAUGUACGCAAUUUUGUCCUUAAUCAGAUAUAAACUAUGAUUAUAGGUAGACUCGGAUCCUUAUUCGAGUAGGACAAAAUCUGAAAUAAUCAUUCAAGUGCUAAAUCUAAUUAUGUCUCAUUCGCCGUCUUCCGGAGGCUCUGAGCUUUGAGGACAUGCUUAGUUUCGUUCUCCUUUGUACGGUGAGGUUCCUCUCGUCAGUCGUGUCGCUCUGUUUGUGUGGAGCUCCUGCUCCGGUUCUUCAAGCGCUCGCAGGAAGGUUGUGAGGAGUGUGUCCUGCCUCUUUGUCGAUUGGAAAGCAUCUAUCUCUCCGACGUUGUGGCCGGUGUAAGGAGUUUAAACCACCGCCUGCAGUCCACGAGUCUCGUUUCUUCACCGCUUGCUUUUCCAUUAGUCAGAUUGGAUCAACAGCCGCAUCUUCUACAAUCUUCUGGUUUGUUCGGAGUGGACCCUUGACGGAAUGAUAGCCGGGGCCGGGACGCCUAACCGCCUCCGCCUGUCACGUCCUCUGAUUCCUUUCGGGAUCUCAUCCGCUCCUGAACUUUUCCUAGACCUCUAAUCUUUUUUGCAGGUUUC
RNAcentral lists this long non-coding RNA (2188 nucleotides) under Brassica napus (rape). Its description in RNAcentral is "long non-coding RNA (BNAP_LNC024888)". The record is from RNAcentral. Lineage: Eukaryota; Viridiplantae; Streptophyta; Magnoliopsida; Brassicales; Brassicaceae.